CUUGGUCAUUUAGAGGAAGUAAAAGUCGUAACAAGGUUUCCGUAGGUGAACCUGCGGAAGGAUCAUUACUGAGCGUGAAGCCAUGCAGGACGCUUGUCCUGUGCGGCUGACCCUCCACCCGUGUGAACUAAUUUUGUUGCUUUGGCGGGCCGGGCUCGACCUACCGGCUCCGGCUGGGGAGUGCCCGCCAGAGACGCCCCAACUCGUGCAGUUAGUGCAGUCUGANAAAAAUUUAACAAGUAAAACUUUCAACAACGGAUCUCUUGGCUCUGGCAUCGAUGAAGAACGCAGCGAAAUGCGAUAAGUAAUGUGAAUUGCAGAAUUUAGUGAAUCAUCGAAUCUUUGAACGCACAUUGCGCCCCCCGGUAUUCCGAGGGGCAUGCCUGUUCGAGCGUCAGAACAUCCUCUCAAGCCUGGCUUGGUCUUGGGGCGCGCCGGCUCGGCGUCCCCUAAACAUAGGGGCGGUACCGUUGUGCUCUCCGCGUAGUCACGUAUCUCGCGACAGAGUGGCGAUGCGACCUGCCAGAACAUACAUAUUUCUUGGAUGACCUCGGAUCAGGUAGGGAUACCCGCUGAACUUAAGCAUAUCAAUAAGCGGAGG
This 601-nucleotide ribosomal RNA is filed under the name Podosphaera sp. DB-2011. Its description in RNAcentral is "eukaryotic LSU rRNA". The stretch from base 244 to 397 matches the Rfam family "5.8S ribosomal RNA". The record is from RNAcentral. Lineage: Eukaryota; Fungi; Ascomycota; Leotiomycetes; Helotiales; Erysiphaceae.